This 406-nucleotide ribosomal RNA is filed under the name uncultured bacterium. RNAcentral's name for it is "partial 16S ribosomal RNA". It matches the Rfam family "Bacterial small subunit ribosomal RNA", at positions 29 to 526 of the family's 1533-position model. The record is from RNAcentral.
AAUGAACGCUGGCGGCAGGCCUAACACAUGCAAGUCGAGCGAGCGGAGGACGGGUGAGUAAUGUAUGGGAAACUGCCUGAUCGAGGGGGAUAACUAAUGGAAACGGUAGCUAAUACCGCAUAAUAUCAGCUGAGCCCAUAUGGGAUUAGCUAGUAGGUGGGGUAAUGGCUCACCUAGGCGACGAUCCCUAGCUGGUCGGAGAGGAUGAUCAGCCACACGGGGACUGAGACAGGGUCCAGACUCCUACGGGAGUCAGCAGGGGGGAAUAUUGCGCAAUGGGCGCAAGUCUGAUGCAGCCAUGCCGCGGGAGUGAAGAAGGCUUUAGGGUUGUAAAGCACUUUCAGCGUGGAGGCGUUACCCGCAGAAGAAGCACCGGCUAACUCCGUGCCAGCAGCCGCGGUAAUAC